GCAAACUUGGUCAUUUAGAGGAAGUAAAAGUCGUAACAAGGUAACCGUAGGUGAACCUGCGGUUGGAUCAUUAAAAAACAUUUGGUCUCGUGCCAAAUUAACAUUUGUGUGCACCAUUGUCUGUCCUUGGUAGUUCGAGCGCGCUGUGGGAACUCAACACUCCUGCGACGCCUGCAUCGUUCCUGGGCUUCGGUCCGGGGCUUGGCUGUUCUACCGAACAUUUGCAAUAACCUUUUUGAUUUUUUUGUCUGAACGAAGAGUUAAUCUUUUUUGAUUAAUGAUUUGAAAACAACUUUUGACAACGGAUCUCUUGGCUCUCGCAUCGAUGAAGAACGCAGC
RNAcentral lists this unclassified non-coding RNA (339 nucleotides) under uncultured fungus. Its description in RNAcentral is "partial contains small subunit ribosomal RNA, internal transcribed spacer 1, and 5.8S ribosomal RNA". The stretch from base 1 to 73 matches the Rfam family "Eukaryotic small subunit ribosomal RNA", at positions 1759 to 1831 of the family's 1831-position model. Lineage: Eukaryota; Fungi. The record is from RNAcentral.